RNAcentral lists this non-coding RNA (23 nucleotides) under Arabidopsis thaliana (thale cress). The record is from RNAcentral. Lineage: Eukaryota; Viridiplantae; Streptophyta; Magnoliopsida; Brassicales; Brassicaceae.
GAGAGUGUCCUCUGAUACCAUAG